This 76-nucleotide transfer RNA is filed under the name bacterium. Its description in RNAcentral is "tRNA-His". It matches the Rfam family "tRNA". Rfam says of the family: Transfer RNA (tRNA) molecules are approximately 80 nucleotides in length. Their secondary structure includes four short double-helical elements and three loops (D, anti-codon, and T loops). Further hydrogen bonds mediate the characteristic L-shaped molecular structure. tRNAs have two regions of fundamental functional importance: the anti-codon, which is responsible for specific mRNA codon recognition, and the 3' end, to which the tRNAs corresponding amino acid is attached (by aminoacyl-tRNA synthetases). tRNAs cope with the degeneracy of the genetic code in two manners: having more than one tRNA (with a specific anti-codon) for a particular amino acid; and 'wobble' base-pairing, i.e. permitting non-standard base-pairing at the 3rd anti-codon position. The record is from RNAcentral. RNAcentral also lists the same sequence under 4 other names.
GCGGCCGUAGCUCAGUUGGUAGAGCCCCGGAUUGUGAUUCCGGUUGUCGCGGGUUCAAGCCCCGUCGGUCGCCCCA